RNAcentral lists this ribosomal RNA (462 nucleotides) under uncultured bacterium. RNAcentral's name for it is "partial 16S ribosomal RNA". It matches the Rfam family "Bacterial small subunit ribosomal RNA", at positions 28 to 507 of the family's 1533-position model. The record is from RNAcentral.
GACGAACGCUGGCGGCGUGCUUAACACAUGCAAGUCGAACGGUGAAGCCCUUCGGGGUGGAUCAGUGGCGAACGGGUGAGUAACACGUGAGCAACCUGCCCCUGGCUCUGGGACAACCACUGGAAACGGUGGCUAAUACCGUAUACGACCCGCCUCGGCAUCGAGUGUGGGUGGAAAGUUUUUCGGCUGGGGAUGGGCUCGCGGCCGAUCAGCUUGUUGGUGAGGUGAAGGCUCACCAAGGCGACGACGGGUAGCCGGCCUGAGAGGGCGACCGGCCACACUGGGACUGAGACACGGCCCAGACUCCUACGGGAGGCAGCAGUGGGGAAUAUUGCACAAUGGGCGCAAGCCUGAUGCAGCGACGCCGCGUGAGGGAUGACGGCCUUCGGGUUGUAAACCUCUUUCAGCUCCGAAGAAGCGAAAGUGACGGUAGGAGCAGAAGAAGCACCGGCUAACUACGUG